Molecule: ribosomal RNA, 786 nt
Filed under: Triticum aestivum (bread wheat)
Lineage: Eukaryota; Viridiplantae; Streptophyta; Magnoliopsida; Poales; Poaceae
Description: partial small subunit ribosomal RNA
Source: RNAcentral
AUGGUGAACUGGAAGCAAUGUUGCAUGCCAAAAAAGUUUGGCAGGCUGGAAAUCAAGAGCAUUGAGGCAUUCGGAAGAUCGCUAAGACUGAGGUCGCUUUGGUAUGAGUGGGAUGAUAUGGAAAGGCCUUGGAAAGGAACGCCGGCACAGUGUGAUUCAACGGACAAAAACCUCUUCGCUGCUUCUACCUCCAUCUCUGUUGGCAAUGGGCAGAUCACUGGCUUCUGGCACAAUAGAUGGCUCGAUGGGGAGUCACCCAAAGAAAUUGCACCGGACGUGUUCCCUUUAGCUUGGAGGAAAAACCUGAAUGUUACAGAAGCUCUGACUGAGGGAAGGUGGAUGCGUGGAAUUCAACGGAUGUCUACUGAGAACCAAAUUCACCAAUUCAUCAGGUUGUGGGAGAAGGUGCAAGCGAUCCAUUUGACUACUGAGAGGGAUAAAAUCUCAUGGAAGCUCUCCAGCAAUGGUUGUUACUCGGCCAAGUCAGCUUAAUGAUGCCAGUUCAUCGGCCGGAUAGAGCAGCCCCACCUUGGCAUGGUUUGGAGGACUAAGGCUGAGCAGAAAGCUCUGGGAGCAACAUCUAUUCGAUCAUGGCGGCAUAAGAUCAAUACAGGAGCUGCAAGAGAGGCAAGGCAAGAGCAAGUAACAUUUGCUGUAUACGUUGCCUGGAACAUAUGGAAGGAAAGGAACCAACGGGUCUUCCAGGCAACAGCCGCCCAGGCUCCUGCUCUGUUGCAGCUGGUGAUGGAUGAUGUUUCCCUCCUGAAGGAGGCCUUCCGCGAGUAG